AUUUAAAUAGCUUAAAAAGAGCAUAAUAUUGAAGAUAUUAAGGUAAUAUUUGUAUUUUUAAAUA
This 64-nucleotide transfer RNA is filed under the name Parapolybia varia. Its description in RNAcentral is "tRNA-Phe". The record is from RNAcentral. Lineage: Eukaryota; Metazoa; Arthropoda; Insecta; Hymenoptera; Vespidae.